RNAcentral lists this ribosomal RNA (842 nucleotides) under Adautomilanezia caesalpiniae. RNAcentral's name for it is "eukaryotic LSU rRNA". It matches the Rfam family "Eukaryotic large subunit ribosomal RNA", at positions 56 to 936 of the family's 3401-position model. Lineage: Eukaryota; Fungi; Ascomycota; Sordariomycetes; Chaetosphaeriales; Chaetosphaeriaceae. The record is from RNAcentral.
GAACAACAGGGAUUGCCUCAGUAACGGCGAGUGAAGCGGCAACAGCUCAAAUUUGAAAUCUGGCCCCCCGGGCCCGAGUUGUAAUUUGCAGAGGAAGCGUCGGGCGCGGUGGCCUUCCGAGUCCCCUGGAACGGGGCGCCGGAGAGGGUGAGAGCCCCGUACGGUCGGCGGCCAAGCCUGUGUGACGCUCCUUCGACGAGUCGAGUAGUUUGGGAAUGCUGCUCUAAGCGGGAGGUAGACCCCUUCUAAAGCUAAAUACCGGCCAGAGACCGAUAGCGCACAAGUAGAGUGAUCGAAAGAUGAAAAGCACUUUGGAAAGAGGGUUAAACAGCACGUGAAAUUGUUGAAAGGGAAGCGCUCGGGACCAGACGCGCGCCGGGGUGUUCCGUGGGCGUUCUCGCCCGCGCACUCGCCCCGGUGCGGGCCAGCGUCGGUUCGGGCGGGGGGAGAAAGGCGUCGGGAACGUGGCCCCUCCGGGGGUGUUACAGCCCGACGCGCCAUGCCCCCGCCGGGACCGAGGUACGCGUUCGCAAGGACGCUGGCGUAAUGGUCCCCAGCGGCCCGUCUUGAAACACGGACCAAGGAGUCGAGGUUUUGCGCGAGUGUCUGGGUGGCAAACCCGCACGCGUAAUGAAAGUGAACGCUGGUGGGAGCUUCGGCGCACCACCGACCGAUCCUGAUGUUCUCGGAUGGAUUUGAGUAGGAGCGCAGGGCCUCGGACCCGAAAGAUGGUGAACUAUGCUUGGAUAGGGUGAAGCCAGAGGAAACUCUGGUGGAGGCUCGCAGCGGUUCUGACGUGCAAAUCGAUCGUCAAAUCUGAGCAUGGGGGCGAAAGACUAAUC